This 2354-nucleotide long non-coding RNA is filed under the name Homo sapiens (human). RNAcentral describes it as "HSALNT0231693". The record is from RNAcentral. Lineage: Eukaryota; Metazoa; Chordata; Mammalia; Primates; Hominidae.
GGAAGAUCAAUUGAACCCAGGAGUUCAAGGCCAGCCUUGGCAACAUAGCAAGACCCCCAUCUCUAAAAUAUACAUAUAUGUAUAUAUCCACACAAAGACUCAUGCACAAAUGUUUACGGCCAUUUAUAAACAUAGCUAUCAUCCAAAAUAGCAAAAAAUGACAGCAACUCAAAAGUCCAUCAAUUGGUGAAUGGAUAAACAAAAUACAAUAUCUAAACACUACUCAGUAAUGUAAAGGAAGAACAAAUUAGUAAGACAUACAACAAAGUGGAAUGAAUCUCAAAAAUAUUACGUUAAGUGAAAGAAGCCAAAUGCAAAAGACUACAUAUUGUAUGAUUCCAUUUAUAUAAAAUGUCUAGAAAAGGCAAACCUAUAGAAACAGAAGGCAAGUCAGUGGUUGCCUAGGGGUGGGGUAGGAGCAGGGAUUAACUACAAAUAGGCACAAGGGAACUUUUGGAUGAUGGAAAUGUUCUAAAACUGGACUGUGGAGUUGGUUUCACCACUCUAAAAAUUUGCUAGUGUCAUUGGAUUGUACCCUUACAAUGGGUGAAUUUUAUGACAUGUAAACUAUACAUUGAUAAGGGUGUUAAAAAAUGAAAGAAUACCACAAGGAGGCCAGAGACUUUGAAAACUUUCUGAAAAAUGAAAAGCAGAUGGAAGACAAUCAGUGACCAAAAUAUAUAAAGAGCUUCUACAAAUCAAUAAGAAAAUGACAAAUAACUGAAUGUAGAAAGAACAAAGAGCGUGAAACAGCAGUGCACAGAAAAUGACAACUAAUAAACCAGUAGGAAAAUGCUGAACCUCACUGCUAAAAGAAAAGAUGCGAUUUAGAACCUAGGAUGUCAUUUUUCACCCACCAGGUCGACAAAAUGUAAGGUUAAUACCUAGGUCUGAUGGAGGGAUAAAGCACUGAAAAUUCUCAGACACUGCAGGUGGAAUGCAAAUUGGAACAGCCUCAGUGGAGGGCUGUCUGGCAGGAUAUGUGAAAAGUAAUAAGGGCUAUUUCCUGUGCUUCAGUGAUUACACAUCUCAGCUUAUAACUCAGAGAAACUCACUGGCACAGGUGCACAGUCUGCAUAUUGAAAAAAGUGGAAGCCACCUAAAUGUCCAUCCAUGAGUCUGUAAGACAGUUGCAAAAUGAACUAUGAUAUAACCAUUCCAUGAUGUUUUCUGUAGCAGUUAUUAGAUCUUUAUCUCUUAACAUGGAAAAAUUGUCAAGACAUUUUCUUUUUCUUUCUCUCUCUCUUUUUUUUUUUUUUUUGAGACAGGGUUGUGCUAUGUUGCCCAAGCUGGAGUGCAGUGGCACGAUCAUAGCUCACUGCUCCUUCAAACUCCCAGGCUCAAGUGUUCCUCCCACUUCAGCCUCCCAAGUAGCUAGGACUACAAGUGUGUGCCACCGUGCCUGGCUCAUUUUCUAAUUUUUUGGAAAGACGGGGUCCCACUUCUCACUAUGUUGCCCAGGCUGGCCUUGAACUCCUAGGCUCAGGUGGUUCUCCCACCUUGUCUUCUCAAAGUGCUGGGGUUAUAGGCGUGAGCCACCAUGCCUGGCCAAGACAUAUUGUUGAGUGAAAAAAAGGCUCUUCCCCAGUCUGGAGUACAGUAGGGUGUUCUUGGCUCACUGAAACCUCUACCUCCUGGGUUUAAGCAAUUCUCCUGCCUCAGCCACGUGAGUAGUUGGGAUUACAGGCAUGUACCACCACCUGGCUAAUUUUUGUAUUUUUAGUAGAGAUGGGGAUUCGCCAUAUUGGUCAGGUUGGUCUCAAACUCCUGGCCUCACGUCAUCUGCUUGCCUCGGCCUCCCAAAGUGCUGGGAUUACAGGCGCGAGCCACCGCACCUGGCUCAUUAUGAUCAUUUUUAAAAACUACUUCUCUACUAAAGGGUAUUUAGCUUGUUUUGAGACUUCUGCUGAUACAGAUGAUAAUACAGUCCUGGGUGAAGGUAUAUACUUGUUAAAUUUCAGUAACUACUGUUAAGUAGGUAUAUCCCCAAAGUGGCUGUACCUAUUUACACUCCAGCAGAGGAUGGAGGUAUGUAACCAGUCCCCCACCCCUCACUAUUAAUAAAAAAUAACAACCUUUUAUGAUUUUGCCAAGUGAAUGACAAAAUGUUAUUUUAGUUUCUAUUUCCUUGAUAGAAUGAAGUAAAACAUUGAUUCUAUUUCAUUUCAUUUGUUCUUUAGCCUUUGGAGUUUAUUUUUCCAUGAAUUCCUUAGUUAUAUCCUUUGCCUAAUUUGUUUUUUUCUUUUCUUGAGAUGGAGUAUUGCUCUGUGGCCCAGGCUGGAGUACAAUGGCGCGAUCUUGGUUCACAGUAACUUCCGCCUCCUGGGUUCAAGUGAUUCUCCUGCCUCAGCUUC